CUUGAACGCUGGCGGCAGGCCUAACACAUGCACGUCGAACGGUAACACGCAGCGUCUUGCUUCUUUGCUGACGAGUGUCGGACGGGUGACUAGUGUCUUCUAAACUGCCUGACGGAGGGGGAUAUCUCCUGGAAACGGUAGCUAAUACCGCAUAACGUCGCAAGACCAUCGAGGGGGACCUUCGGGCUUCUUGCCAUCCGAUGUGCCCAGAUGGGGUUAGCUAGUAGGUGGGGUAACGACCCCCCUAGGCGACGAUCCCUCGCUGGUCUGAGAGGAGGACGAGCCGCACUGGAACUGAGCCACGGUCCAGACUCCGACGGGAGGCAGCGGUGGGGAAUAGUGCACAAUGGGGGGAAGCCUGAUGCAGCCAUGCCGCGUGUAUGAAGAGGGCCUGCGGGGUGUAAAGUACUUUCAGCGGGGAGGAAGGGAGUAGAGUUAAUACCGUUGCUCAUUGACGUUACCCGCAGAAGAAGCACCGGCUAACUCCGUG
This 490-nucleotide ribosomal RNA is filed under the name uncultured bacterium. RNAcentral describes it as "partial 16S ribosomal RNA". It matches the Rfam family "Bacterial small subunit ribosomal RNA", at positions 30 to 507 of the family's 1533-position model. The record is from RNAcentral.